ACGGAGGGUGCGAGCGUUAUCCGGAUUCACUGGGUUUAAAGGGCGCGUAGGCGGGUGACCAAGUCCGGGGUGAAAUCUUUCGGCUUAACCGGAAAAGUGCCUUGGAUACUGGUCGCCUGGAGGGAGGUAGGGGCAUGUGGAACUUCCGGUGGAGCGGUGAAAUGCGUUGAUAUCGGAAGGAACGCCGGUGGCGAAAGCGACGUGCUGGCCCUCUUCUGACGCUGAGGCGCGAAAGCCAGGGGAGCGAACGGGA
RNAcentral lists this ribosomal RNA (253 nucleotides) under uncultured prokaryote. RNAcentral's name for it is "partial 16S ribosomal RNA". It matches the Rfam family "Bacterial small subunit ribosomal RNA", at positions 525 to 777 of the family's 1533-position model. The record is from RNAcentral.